Molecule: ribosomal RNA, 350 nt
Filed under: Macridiscus veneriformis
Lineage: Eukaryota; Metazoa; Mollusca; Bivalvia; Venerida; Veneridae
Also listed under: 1 other name
Description: partial 12S ribosomal RNA
Source: RNAcentral
UUUGGCGGUUAAAUCGAUGAACCUCGAAAAUUUUACCUUUAGUUUACCUUACAUACCGCCGUUGUGAUAGGCUUUUGUGAGAGAAGGGUUUUACUUAAUAUUCAUGAGUUAAAGUAAUUUAUUUUAAUAACUUUGUCUCUAUAGAAAUUCAGGUCAACGUGUAGGAUCUAAAGGGUUUAGCUGAGUUACAAUUUUUGUAAAAUAUGGAAUUAUAAAGUUAAGUUUAUAUAGAAAGUGGACUUAUUAGUAAAAUUUUAGUAUAAAUGAAGUUUGAAUAGUGUCAUGAAAUGCGUACAAAUCGCCCGGCGCCCUCACAUGUUUUAAGAUGAGGUAAGUCGUAACAUGGUAAA